CUGCAAGUAUCCAAGUUAGGUUAUAUUUUGAAUUUGCCAUUGUUUAAACUGGAUUAUAGAAACUUCUGAGCGUUAUAAACUACUAGUUAAACCUCAGUAAAACCUCGUCCUCGCAAUUCAUGCAGAAACAUUACAAUACAUAUAGACAGUUCAUAGGUUAGAAUGUUUUAGAGUUCAUAAUCGAGCGAUGAUGCUGCAAUCCGGGAAUA
Non-coding RNA from Paramuricea clavata, 209 nucleotides. The record is from the annotation of a GenBank genome assembly. NCBI's taxonomy places the organism in Eukaryota, Metazoa, Cnidaria, Anthozoa, Malacalcyonacea, Plexauridae.